Paramuricea clavata is the source of this 248-nucleotide non-coding RNA. NCBI's taxonomy places the organism in Eukaryota, Metazoa, Cnidaria, Anthozoa, Malacalcyonacea, Plexauridae. The record is from the annotation of a GenBank genome assembly.
CUGUUAGAAAGCUGAAUGGCUACGCUUUAAAAUGAAUGUAAACUUUAACGUUUUCGUCUAUUAUUUGUUUAGCAAUUUACAUUUCAGUCGAGGAUUGCGCUUUUUUUGAUACACCCUGUAUAGCUCCUGCGAAUUGUUGUCAGUUUUACAUACUAAUUAACCAAUUAUUUUUAUCACGUUACAUCAAAAUUAUGAACACAAUAAAUUACAACUUUCUCAAUUACGUUUCCAUUCAUUCUAGCACUUUC